Non-coding RNA from Paramuricea clavata, 439 nucleotides. The record is from the annotation of a GenBank genome assembly. NCBI's taxonomy places the organism in Eukaryota, Metazoa, Cnidaria, Anthozoa, Malacalcyonacea, Plexauridae.
AUGGGAUAUAAAUACUGCACCGGUCUUUCCAGUACCCCGUUCUUUGUCUUGAGUCGCACAGCUCUCACGACUCCGUCCUUGCCAGGAAAGGUUUCUUCGACCACAGCUAAAGGCCACACUCCCCGAUUCUUGUUGUCGCUCAACACUAUGACCACAUCUCCAGAUUUGGGACAGAACUUCGUUCUCGCAUGAAUCAUAGUAUGUCUUUCUCUCAAUGCCGCUAGAUAUUCCCUCUUCCAACGUUUCCACAGGUUGUUCUUGCAGGCAAGAAGGUACUUGGCACGUUUCCUAAGAUCAUGAUUUUCGAUUCUCCAUGUCUCUUCGAUAGGUAGAUGGUUUGAACGUUGGUACAGGAAUGUAGAUGGGGUUAGGGUUGGCAAUUCCACAUCGUCCUCCAUGUAUGAUAAGGGUCGUCGGUUUAUCUGUAUUUCGAUAUCUA